Long non-coding RNA from Ipomoea nil (Japanese morning glory), 1095 nucleotides. RefSeq lists it as uncharacterized. The record is from RefSeq and is a predicted model, not a curated record. NCBI's taxonomy places the organism in Eukaryota, Viridiplantae, Streptophyta, Magnoliopsida, Solanales, Convolvulaceae. The transcript is spliced from 2 exons.
UCUUUUCAUUCCAUUUUAUAUAUUUGAUUCGGUUAACAAUACUUGAUUGAAAUUAUGUAUGCUAUAAAUAUCACCCCAAUCCAGAUUUUAUCCACUCGAGGCCUCAACAGAUUACCUCAACUUUGGCUCUUGCUAUGCUUGGCCUUGAUUUCCUUGUCGUCGCCGCAUCUACAACCAAUAAUCGACCCACCGGUGCACAUAUGCGCUUUAGAAUCUAUAAAUUGGAUAGGUGAUAUGGAAGUCUAGGUAAUUGAAUCCAUAUUGCUGCAAAUGGCAUGUCUCGUCUAGGGCUCCAAUCCGACGUCCAUCUGGAGAACCGCACAAGUUUUCCUCCAAAUAUUCCUUGAUUUCUAGCCAAGACCUUAUUGCAUUCCCACUCCGCCUCAAAUCGAAUUAGUGUGUUCUUUGCAUUUAGUACUCCAAUUCGCACGUUUGUUGACAGAGCAAACGCAUCUCGGAACUCAGCCCUAAUCAAGGUGAGUUUAUCUUCUUUCUCUGCCAAUUCUUUCCAUUCUACCUCUGCGAUUUGCACAACUAAACACCCCUGUCUUAAUCUACUGGUUGAAUUUCCCGAAUUUGGAAGAAUUGAAUCAACAUUUUGUACCUGCGUGAUCUUUGCUGUUUAUGUUGAUUUGUCUUGUUGUACAAUGUCUACGAAAGAGCGCAAUAGAGUUGCAGGGAGCCGGCGACCUUGAUUCAGAGCAUCUCCAGUAUCAACUUGAUUUGUAUUUGCUUCGGUUGUUUUUCCUAUAUUUUCUGGAUCGAUCGAGACAGUGGCUAGAUCUCCGAUAUGAUUUUGCAUCUCCGGAGCGGCAUCUACAACGAUCAUAGUGAAAGUAUCAUUUUGCCUUCAAAAAAGACGGCCAGCUCACAUCCAAAUUGACGGAGGAUCAAAUCGGAUACAAAAUCAAUAGUUGAGAACUUAAUUGGUCAAAAUUAGUAGUCGAUGACCAAUUUAGUACUUUCGCAAUAGUCGAUAACCAAAACGGUAAUUAACUCUUUUUCUUAUUUAAUUUGUUGUAACAUUAAUUUAGGGAUAAUAAUCAAAUUAAUUUUUGAACUUAUUGAAGAUGGCACUUAUAGACCAUUGAACUU